AAAUAAAAUAAAAUAAAAUAAAAUUCCUUAAUGAUACAGCAACUUUUGCUUCUUAUAGUUAAUUUUCUAUAUUGCAAUGGAAAUCUUUCUUAUGAAUUUUCCUGAGGCACUGCAAAGAAAACUAUUUCAGCAGUAGGAGCCUUCUCGUAAUCAUCUACCUCUCUAUUGAUCCCAGAUGGUAAGGGAGAUGAAUAAAGGAUGGCCAUCUUCUUUAAAGAUGUAGCAUGCUUGAGCAAGUACUUUAUGAGCUCCAACUCAUUAUCCCCUUUGUGAAAAAGCUCUAUUGCCGCUUUCUCCAAUUUAUGAACAAAAGCUAGGUUUUGAGACUCCCAAUAUCCCAGGGUAAAUCCAUAUGAUUUCGAUUCCAUUUUUGUUAAUCUUUUAGCAAGGAAGUAGUCAUGGUAUUUUAUUGUAAGAGUCUUCAGAUUAGGUGUUCCUUUGAGCAACGAAGCUAUAGCAGGCACCAAACAAUCAUCUAAAUUGUUGGUAUAUAUACUGAGGGAACUCAAAUUACAGAAGAGUGAUGGUAGACAACCCUGCUUAAACAUAAUCUCAUUGCAUUCAUAAUCUAUAUAUAGAUUGGUAGUUGUACAUAUGCUAUCAAGUAGACUUGACAAGUUCUUAUUGGUAGAAAACUCGUGCCUAUCCAAGGAAGGAUCUUGCUUGACAUUGAUUCCAGUAACUUGUAGAUGGUUCAACUUCCCCAAGCAGUAUGAAUCCACAAGAUAACUCUCCCAAAUCAGACGAAUAAGAUUUGGGGCAAAGAUUUUCAAUAACUUGGGAUUAGAAGAACGACCUCUCCAAAACAAGAGAAACGAAGUAAGCUUUUCUGCCGAUAUGAUUAUAUUGCUCAGUUUACUAGAGGAAGGAUUAUCUAUGGUCAAACGUUCAAGGGUGGAGCUAUUGAUCAUAAUAUUCUUUACCCCAUCAAUGUAAGCAAGCAAUAAUUUUUCAAGGUGCUUGCAGAAAGAUGAAAUCCACUCUCCAAAAGCCUCAUUACUAAUUUUAAGAUUUUUCAAAGAUAAGGAUUUGAGAUUGCAGAAGCCACCUGAGAGGGGAAAUUUAUCAAGAAUGCCUCCAUCCAAGUCUACUUUUAAUUCCUUUAAUGAUUCACAAUGAAAUACAGGAAGCGGCAACGAGAAAACAUCUUCUCUAUUGAGGAGGAGGAUUUCGAGAUGAAGCAACUGAACCUUACAUACUAUUGCAUUAUACAGCCAUGUAAGAACACGGAAUUUUUCAUCAGCAUUGGCAGCGGCAAAAGGCCAGCGAAUAGUUAUGCGUUGGGUCUCCAUUCCUUUUCGGAGAGCAAACAAUCUGUCCACGUAAUUUAUCAACUCACCCUUUAGACCUCUGUCUUCCCAUAAGAAGCCAUCAAAAGUCAAGAAAGGAAUGGAUAUGCAGAAUUCUCUUAGCUUUUUCGAGAUAAGGGACAAGUAUGAAAGUUCUUGCAUUUCGAGGAAAGAAAGAAUGUGAUGGAUAACAGGGUCCGGAAGAUUGCUGAUUCUGUCUCUAUCACUCCUUGGAGACUUCAUCAUAGUACCCAUUAAAGCGAAUCACUUGGCUUAAGGUCUCUACACUCUCUGUUCUACCCAACGAUCAAACCCUUAAUAAGUACUCUAAGUUCCAAUCUUCAAUCCCUUACCAAUGAAGAAACGUCACAUAACGCAGGUAACGCCAACUCAGGUCGUGGGUUUUAUUAAUGGGAUUUGCUAGGAUCAUUAAAUGAAGAAGAAGGAAGAAGGAGAAAAAGGAACAGAUCUGCCAUCGAGAUCCCCACCUCUUCUCUAACUCACGCCCCUACCCGAACUGCUCCUUCCCUCCAUAGCGACUUGACGGACUUCACAGAGCUCUCUCUCAAUUGUAAAGGUGACAAAAGGAGACAAAAUCAAGGAAAUAGAGAGAAG
This 1904-nucleotide unclassified non-coding RNA is filed under the name Hevea brasiliensis (rubber tree). Lineage: Eukaryota; Viridiplantae; Streptophyta; Magnoliopsida; Malpighiales; Euphorbiaceae. The record is from RNAcentral.